GGCGCAGCUUACACAUGCAAGUCGAACGAACUCUUCGGAGUUAGUGGCAGACGGGUGAGUAACGCGUGGGAAUAUACCUUUCGGUACGGAACAACAGUUGGAAACGACUGCUAAUACCGUAUGCGCCCUAUGGGGGAAAGAUUUAUCGCCGAAGGAUUAGCCCGCGUUGGAUUAGCUAGUUGGUGGGGUAAAGGCCUACCAAGGCGACGAUCCAUAGCUGGUCUGAGAGGAUGAUCAGCCACACUGGGACUGAGACACGGCCCAGACUCCUACGGGAGGCAGCAGUGGGGAAUAUUGGACAAUGGGGGCAACCCUGAUCCAGCCAUGCCGCGUGAGUGAUGAAGGCCCUAGGGUUGUAAAGCUCUUUCAGCGAGGAGGAUAAUGACGUUACUCGCAGAAGAAGCCCCGGCUAACUUCGUGCCAGCAGCCGCGGUAAUACGAAGGGGGCUAGCGUUGUUCGGAAUCACUGGGCGUAAAGCGCACGUAGGCGGAUUGGUCAGUUAGGGGUGAAAUCCCAGAGCUCAACUCUGGAACUGCCUUUAAUACUGCCAGUCUUGAGUCCGAGAGAGGUGAGUGGAACUCCGAGUGUAGAGGUG
RNAcentral lists this ribosomal RNA (596 nucleotides) under Labrenzia sp. Its description in RNAcentral is "bacterial SSU rRNA". It matches the Rfam family "Bacterial small subunit ribosomal RNA", at positions 41 to 683 of the family's 1533-position model. Lineage: Bacteria; Pseudomonadati; Pseudomonadota; Alphaproteobacteria; Hyphomicrobiales; Stappiaceae. The record is from RNAcentral.